AUUGAACGCCGGAGGCAGGCCUAACACAUGCAAGUCGAAUGAGUUUCGGACGGGUGAGUAAUGUCUGGGAAACUGCCCGAUGGAGGGGGAUAACUACUGGACACGGUAGCUAAUACCGCCUACCAUCGGAUGUGCCCAGAUGGGAUUAGCUAGUAGGGGGGGUAACGGCUCACCUAGGCGACGAUCCCUAGCUGGUCUGAGAGGAUGACCAGCCACACUGGAACUGAGACACGGUCCAGACUCCUACGGGAGGCAGCAGUGGGGAAUAUUGAACAAUGGGCGCAAGCCUGAUGCAGCCAUGCCGCGUGUAUGAAGAAGGCCUUCGGGUUGUAAAGUACUUUCAGCGAGGAGGCGUUACUCGCAGAAGAAGCACCGGCUAACUCCGUGCCAGCAGCCGCGGUAAUAC
This 406-nucleotide ribosomal RNA is filed under the name uncultured bacterium. RNAcentral describes it as "partial 16S ribosomal RNA". It matches the Rfam family "Bacterial small subunit ribosomal RNA", at positions 30 to 526 of the family's 1533-position model. The record is from RNAcentral.